Molecule: long non-coding RNA, 2071 nt
Filed under: Sorghum bicolor (sorghum)
Lineage: Eukaryota; Viridiplantae; Streptophyta; Magnoliopsida; Poales; Poaceae
Description: long non-coding RNA (SBIC_LNC014632)
Source: RNAcentral
GCAUAAAAUAAAAAUGACAAAAAUAUAGCAUGCAUAUUUAAAUUCCUGCAUCAUAAAUAGAAAAUUUAAAAAUAAGAGAAAAUUGAAAUCCUAUUUAAAUUAGACAACAUUAAAGCUUGCUCUUAAAGGUGAUCAAUUACUCUUUGGCUGAUUGCUAACCCAUUAACCAAUUUGAGUCUCGAGUUUUUGUUUCUCUUUGUGGAGAGUAUUUAUGCAAGAAUAACAUCAUAGCAAGGAGAGAGUCUAUCAGUGGCACCACCAGAUCUGCUACUGGUUAGCUCACUCUAAAGGACAUCUACACCAAGUAUCACAACCAUCCAGCUUGGGGGAGGAGCAUACCCUAGCUAUCAGGUGACUACACCUAGGCGAUUAUUAAAUUUACUUGUUAUAUAUAUAUAUAUAUUCAUAAAACACCAAAAAUAUAUGGGCACAUGAAGGUCCACGUCUGUUGAGUCAUUUAUGAGUCUGUGGUUAAAUAAAAUCUAAAAACCAAUAAAAAGAAGUCUUAGUUAGUAUUAACUGUAUUAUAGUGUGUCUAGGCUAGAGUUAAUAAAAAAACUGAUGAACAUUACAAUUUUGUCUUGGAGGUGAUGAGUAGUUGCUUUGCUGUAAUUCCUUUCAAGUGCCUAGUUUUCAAUCUUAAGUUCUACCAAGUUUUGGACAUGACUGCUUUGAUAUAAGAAUUUACUCUGAGCCUAAAACUUGUGGAGGCAUAUGCUUAAGCUAAGUCUAGGUGAUUGGUUGAUAUGAUUCAUGAAGGUUCAGUUGCUAUUUGUCUCAUUCCUAGCAUUAUUAAGUUUUGGAGAUUUAUUUUGAAAACCCAAAAUCCUACAUGAUGAGCUCUUGUAUGACAAAGUUUGAAUUCCUACCAAAGCUUUUGCACAUUUAUACUGCUUGCUUUGCAUUGAGUUGAGUCAACCUUUGUCGUAUACCUUAUGAGAGUCUUGUCAUGCUUUUAAAAUCAAGAUCACACGCACACUCUAUCUACAUAUGCAUUAGUCCUACUCUCGGAGUAAGCGCAACCAUUUUCCACUUUCAUCCAGAUCCACCUUAAAAUUGUUUUUCUCCUACACUAGGAGUCAAACACCCAAAUAUAUAUAUAUAAACCCAUAGGACAACCUUUGUUUAAUUGCUCAAAGUACUUAUUGCUAUCUCUCCAAUUAUCAUAUUAUAUUCAAAGGAUGCAUGUGGCUAUGCAAAAGGAAAGUUAUUGAAAAAAAGAAGAGGGAGUAAAAGAAGGACAAGUGUCCUAGCAAUUAAAAUAAUGGGUACUUAGAUGCCCGCCUUCCUAAAAGUAAAAGAAAAAAAAGGAAAAAAGAAAGAGAAGAGAGAAAAGAAAACGAAUAAAGAUAGCCCAUGUUUUCCCAUGAAAAGAGAGAUCAAAAGUAGAAUUAUAAUUAGUCACUAAAUACCUUAUAUACACCUAUCCACCAUAUUUCAUACACACACACAUCUUGAUUUGAUUGUAUGCUUUGACUCUCUGUGGAUCCAUUGUUUGGCUUUACAAUAGAUGAAUUACAAGUAUGCUCAUCCUUGUUAUUACCACUCUUAUAAGCUCCACUAUAAUCAUUAGUUAUAGGAGGGCAGGACAACACACCUCAGUGAGAUCUAUAAAUACCACAUAUUAAAGAGACUUGAGGGUGUCAUGCAAUUAAGCUCUGAGUUUUAUUGUGAAAACUUAUAAAAACUCUAGAAUAUUGGUACUGUGAAGAAUUUGAGACAUAUUAAAUACCACAUAUUAAAGAGACUUGAGGGUGUCAUGCAAUUAAGCUCUGAGUUUUAUUGUGAAAACUUAUAAAAACUCUAGAAUAUUGGUACUGUGAAGAAUUUGAGACAUAGUGUUUGACUUGAUUGUUCUGUCUUUUGAUUACUCAAGACUUAUGCAAGAGCUGUAAAGCUCCAUAGUUCAGGGUAAAAUAGGUAAGUUUGACGGUUAGAGCAGUUAAUGACUAAAUCCAGAGGAGAAUCUCUAUUUGAAUACAUGUGUACCUUUGAGGAAUGACAGCAUUGUAGCAACUCCUGAUCCAGAUAUACUAGUAAUUAGGCUUAGUCCGUUUGCCAAGGGACUGGC